This 253-nucleotide ribosomal RNA is filed under the name uncultured bacterium. Its description in RNAcentral is "partial 16S ribosomal RNA". It matches the Rfam family "Bacterial small subunit ribosomal RNA", at positions 524 to 776 of the family's 1533-position model. The record is from RNAcentral.
UACGGAGGGAGCUAGCGUUGUUCGGAAAUACUGGGCGUAAAGCGCACGUAGGCAGCGCAGCAAGUCAGGGGUGAAAUCCCGGGGCUCAACCCCGGAACUGCCCUUGAAACUGCAGUGCUAGAAUCUUGGAGAGGUCAGUGGAAUUCCUAGUGUAGAGGUGAAAUUCGUAGAUAUUAGGAAGAACACCAGUGGCGAAGGCGGCUCACUGGUCCGGUACUGACGCUGAGGUGCGAAAGCGUGGGGAGCAAACAGG